AUUGAACGCUGGCGGCAGGCCUAACACAUGCAAGUCGAGCGGAGCGGCGGACGGGUGAGUAAUGCCUAGGAAUCUGCCUGGUAGUGGGGGAUAACGUCCGGACACGGGCGCUCAUACCGCAUACUCUCAGAUGAGCCUAUGUCGGAUUAGCUAGUUGGUGUGGUAAAGGCCUACCCAGGCGACGAUCAGUAACUGGUCUGAGAGGAUGAUCAGUCACACUGGAACUGAGACACGGGCCAGACGCCUACGGGAGGCAGCAGUGGGGAAUAUUGGACAAUGGGCGAAAGCAUGAUCCAGCCAUGCCGCGUGUGUGAAGAAGGUCUUCGGAUUGGAAAGCACUUUAAGUUGGGAGGCGUUACCAACAGAAGAAGCACCGGCUAACUACGUGCCAGCAGCCGCGGUAAUUC
RNAcentral lists this ribosomal RNA (407 nucleotides) under uncultured bacterium. Its description in RNAcentral is "partial 16S ribosomal RNA". It matches the Rfam family "Bacterial small subunit ribosomal RNA", at positions 30 to 526 of the family's 1533-position model. The record is from RNAcentral.